AAGGCUUUAGCUUAAUUAAAGUGUCUGAGUUGCAUUUAGAAGAUAUGGGAUGAAAGUCUUGUAAGUCUUA
RNAcentral lists this transfer RNA (70 nucleotides) under Apalone ferox (Florida softshell turtle). Its description in RNAcentral is "tRNA-Ala". It matches the Rfam family "tRNA". From Rfam's summary of the family: Transfer RNA (tRNA) molecules are approximately 80 nucleotides in length. Their secondary structure includes four short double-helical elements and three loops (D, anti-codon, and T loops). The record is from RNAcentral. Lineage: Eukaryota; Metazoa; Chordata; Testudines; Trionychidae.